UACAGAGGUCUCAAGCGUUGUUCGGAUUUAUUGGGUUUAAAGGGUGCGUAGGCGGCUUUGUAAGUCAGUGGUGAAAUAUGGCAGCUCAACUGUCAGGGUGCCAUUGAUACUGCGGAGCUUGAGUACAGAUGAGGUAGGCGGAAUUGACGGUGUAGCGGUGAAAUGCUUAGAUAUCGUCAAGAACACCGAUAGCGAAGGCAGCUUACUGGGCUGUAACUGACGCUGAGGCACGAAAGUGUGGGGAUCAAACAGG
This 253-nucleotide ribosomal RNA is filed under the name uncultured bacterium. Its description in RNAcentral is "partial 16S ribosomal RNA". It matches the Rfam family "Bacterial small subunit ribosomal RNA", at positions 524 to 776 of the family's 1533-position model. The record is from RNAcentral.